Long non-coding RNA from Sebastes umbrosus (honeycomb rockfish), 2087 nucleotides. RefSeq lists it as uncharacterized. NCBI's taxonomy places the organism in Eukaryota, Metazoa, Chordata, Actinopteri, Perciformes, Sebastidae. The transcript has 2 exons. The record is from RefSeq and is a predicted model, not a curated record.
CCCAUGUUGAUAAGAGUAUUAAAUACUUGACAUGUCUCCCUUUAAGGUACAUUUUGAACAGAUAAAAAAUGUGUGAUUAAUUUGUGAUUAAUGGCAAUUAGCUAUGGACAAUCAUGCGAUUAAUCUUUAAGGUGUAGAUCUACUGGUUGGAGAGACUGUGGUGGUGACUAUCCAUCUCGACUGUUUAACAGUUGGCAAGAGAAGAUAGUGGGCUGGAAACCUUUGUCUCUUUCCAAACAUUCACCUGCAAAGAAGAAGUGUAGAAAACAGGACAAGAAAACAUGGCGGCAGUUUGAGCUCUACGAGGUUUUUCACCUUUGUGUGUUAAUUUUGUCUUUCAGUGUCCUUAUUAAAGCGGUCCUUUUCCAUCUGCAUCAACUACUGCUGAUGAGUCUUUUUCAUCCGGUGAAGGAGCGCUCAUAUUUCUCUUGAGUAGCACCUCUACUCCUUCAGAAUACCAAUAAGUCUUACAUUGGGCCUAAAAUCAAUAUGAUCCUUUCCAAAUCUGUAUUUAUUCCUCUCUCAGAUUGUCUCCCAACCUUAGAAGCUCGGCUGUGCUGUAGGACAGAGAGGAGGCUGGAGAAGGAGGGAGGACGUGAGGGGAAUGUGAGGGCGAGUGUUGCUCUGCUGGUCGGUGAAAUUGGCGGUUCUAGUUUCGGAUAAGAGGUCGUCUCAGGACUUCGAGAGACGGGAAUGAGCUCAAGUCUCGUGUCGUAAUUUGCUUGGAUCUGGCGCGGGGUGAAGUGGAACCAUCAGUUUUGGCGUGCUUCCUGUUGUUCAGUUUUGUGUAACUUUUCUUCCGUGGAUUGUAUGCCAUUCGAACACCUGCACAUGGCCUGAAAAAAACGUGUCUGAUCUCGGUGACGUCAGCAGGGUCCCGACAAGACCAGGAAACGGCUCCCUCCCUUUUCGGUUUCGGAGGAGUGAUGUCAUCGCAGGGCGAGUGUGAGGUUGGCUGAGGCUUUAGUGAGCUUGACGUUUUAUCACCAAGAGCACCAGACGUAUGACCACAUGCACCAGUCAGUACGGGGGACACAAAGUGAGAACCAAGUAACAUGGCAACACGUUAGGGACUCGUCAUAAACCCCCCCUCGCCCCCCGAGAGGGGAAAAGGAGUGUGAGGCAAAGGCACGCAGAGAGACAGAGAUGCAGAAACCCAGAGGGGAAGAGGGACGGCAUGAGUGUGCAUGCUGAUGGGGAUAGGAGCGCGUGGAGCUACAGAGCUGCAGAAUCCUGAAUCCAGCAGAUGGAGACUCCGUGUCCUUGUUUUGCGGUGAUCUCUGGGAGCAACAUGCAGCUCGCGCCGCUGCCUCGCACUGCUGCAGUGGAGGAGUAAAUGCGGAGCCCAACACUGCUCCAGGUGAUCCACAGCAGCCCAGCCCGGCAGACUGCUCCCUCCUUAGCCUUCCCUCUCCUCCUCCUCCUCCUCCUCCUUCUCCUCCUCCUCCACCUCCUCUUCCUCCUCCUCUUCCUCCUCUGUCAAUGCUCCAUUCCUCUGAGGGCUUUGAAAAAAAUAACAAGAAAGGAGCAGAAAAACAGAGGAGAAAUCCGGCUUUCCCCCUCCGUUCUCAGAUGUGAAACACCUCUGCAUGACUGUCCGCCGCUUCCCUGUCAUCGUGUGAAGACGCACCGCAUAUGUGCUCCAAUGUCUCCGGAACAUAGACUCGCUGCAAGGUAGGAAGACUUAUCCAGAAAAAAACGCUUGCUUUUUUUGGGGGGCUUUCAUUUUCUAUGGAACUGUUACAUCCUUGUGUGUGUGUGUGUGUGUGUGUGUGUGUGUGUGUGUGCGUGUCCAUACAGUAUGUAUGUGUGUGUAACAGCAUCCAGCAGGGUGGGAGGGAUUGCUCCUCAAACAGGCUCCUCGAUGGGCAACAAGGGGAUUUUCGUCUUGACAAUGUGGCCAAACAGCUUUCCAUCGAUCUUCUUAAGGCCACUAAUGUCGGCACAAUCUCUGGCUUCAAAAUAACUGACAGACUGCCUUCUUUAAUGGCACCAGUAGUUAAUCAUUAUGUAAUCAUUUUUAUCGGUUCUGUUAGGCUGUAGAGAGAGAGAGAGAGAGAGAGAGAGAGAGAGAGAGAGAAAAAAAA